GGGCACCCCAUCCAGGAGUGGACAACACAGGGGGUCCCCACUGUCAUGAGACAGCAGGCUGCGUCAGUGAGAGGUCCGUCUCCCGUACAGACACACAAGCCGCAGGCAGACCUUGAGCCUGCCCCCGUAGCAGCAGGAGGCCGCUCGGAUUUCCUUGGAGGGCUGGGCGGCACAGGGCACGUGUUCCUGCACAGCCCGUUCCUGGGAGGCGGCUGCCCCCAUGGUAGAUGUGGACGAGCUCUGCUCCUCCCCAAGCCGGGUUACACGUGGCCAGCUUGCUGUCCUGGCUCCCUAUCUGUGGAGCGGACAGAGGCUGGAGGAGAAGGAAGGGGUCCAGGAAGGGAGUGUGCGGCCACCCUGGGGAGGGGCCAGGAGCAUCAGGGGAGGGCCAACAGCACGAACUGUAGUUUUCAGUGGUGGAUGGGCUUGGGGGUAAUAUUUCUUUGAGGCAACAUCUCAUUACAUUGUUCUUUCCUAUCCUUAGAAGCCCCCAGCCCCCACCCCCACAUGGAAAACAAGAACCUGAGAGGACUAACGGCUGGGCUCCAGAGAGACCUGGGGCGGCAGGAGGAAGAGAAAGAUGAAUUCCAAAAGUCCCCCCUGCCAGAGUCAGAACACAGUGGAAACGGCAGAAACGGGGGCUCUCCUUGGGUGCGAGAAGGAGGCCCUGCACUUCCUGGCACAGCUGCCCGGUGGGCGCCCAGCAGAGCCUCCACCAGGAGGCCAGCGCCGCCAGCAGAGCGUGCCACGCUCAGGGCCGCACUGCAGAACACGCACGUCCGCUGCGGGGUACAGAUCAGACUGGCAGAGCUUCGCCUCAGGGGAAAGAGGAAAAGCCAGGGGCUGUGGCAACAGUUUAAGGAAGCGGUGACAGCCCUUAAAACCAGGUGGGAUGCAGUGGGAAGGGAGAGAAGCGGGUGGACGUCAGAUAUGUUCGGGAGGCCAAACCGACGUCCUUAGUGAGCAGGUGUUGAAGACACAGGCCAGAAGGGAGCCCGGGUAGAGAUAGACACGCAAUGCGCCAAGGAGAUGAAGACAGGGAGCUCUGGGCGAAGGCGCCGCGUCCGAGUGCAUUUUCUUCAGUGUCUCCCAGGGCAGGCGGCUCGCUCUGAAGGCCUCAAUUCCUCCCUCUCUCACAGCCUCACCCCAGGCCACAUGACACACUUGGGCUCUGGGCUCAGAGGAUGUGGGCCAGUGUAACACAACAGACGUCUCAGAGGGGCUCCUGCAACCUGGCCAGCGCCCCUGCAACUGCCGUGAGAACAUGCUGGAGCUGGCCUGCUGGAGUGUGAGAAAACAAGCAGAGAGCUGAGGCACCCCACUCUUUGUGGGUCAGCCCAGAGCCGGCUGACCUGCCGACCUGAACGAGCCAGGAGAGGUGGAUUCCGUGCCACUGAAUCUCGGGUGGUGAGGCCCAGGGACCUGGGGCUGAGCACACCCACUGGUGAUUCCAAUGCGUGCUAACCGCUGAGGAGCACCGGCCUAGAUGACCAGCAGCUGCUGCUGAUGCCUGCCGGACUCCAGUGGGGCCAGAAGAACUGAGGCUUGAGCCUGGUCCAGCUUGGCAGGACCCUGCAGGUUUGUGAGCUGAGAGACGGUUGCUGCUUGCUACUGAGGACUUGCUGUUGUUACACCCCAGUAUUGUGCAAUGGACGACUGAUACACUUGCCCACACUCCCUCCUUCCUGAGAGUAGACGGAUUCCCAGGGCUAAAGCAAGAAAAAGGCAGAGCAAAUAAGGAAACUCGGUGCUCCAUCCCGCUCCCUUCCUUCCAGGAGACAUUGUGAGGGACAGGCCAAAGCACAGACGUGAGGGAAGAGAACAGCUGGGCUGAGUCCUGCCCCACUCUGGUAGAAGAGUCACUGCACAGAGACAGCCCUGGGAGGGGGCAGGCAGCUGCCCGCCAGGGGGCUGAGGCCCAGCUGUGCUGUGAGUGGGCACGCACACCUGAAGACGUGAGGUCGGGAUGUGGAGGGCAGUUUAGAUUGUGAACAGGACGCAGGUGGGAAUGCGGAUGUUUAAAGAGAUGCUUCCAGAGGCAAGAGAGGCUGGCGAUGCAGAGCAGACAGAAGUGGGGUGCCAGCUGCUGAGGGGCCAGACGACCCAUGUAAUGCUUUGUGUGGGUGAGCCUCCCACCCACCUCGACCCGGAUGCAGCCCUCCGUGCCCAGGGUGAGGGGACCUUCACUGCACCCAGGAUGGGGCAUCUCUGAAUACACUUCAGUCACCUAGGAAAAAUUUCCCCCAAGAAGCAAACUAGGGGCAGGUAGAAAUGAUGUUCAGUGACUGGGUGAAAAUAAAUGUUCUCAAUAUUGAAUAACAAGACAAUAACAACUCCACUGAGAAAUGGGGCAAGGACUUUUUAAAAAGCCAGAGAAGUAGGGGGAGAUAAGCCAACAAAUGCGUGAAAAGAUGUUCAAACUUACAAAUAAAUACAAAUGAAAGGAAAGGCUGGAUGGCAGGUGGAAGAACAGACCCACUCAUGCCCUCUCCCCACACCCCACAAGGUAACAACAAAGGGGUUUUUUAAGGCAUCAGCCGACAAGAACAACAAUCAUGUGAGAGGAAACAGGAACAAGAUCUGGGAAACGAGAAUGCCGGUGGCCACAUAGUAAGUGGCCCGGCAGAGGAGGGAAGCCAAGGGACCGAAUCCUAACCAGCAGCCGGGAAAGCCCACAAGCUGCUCGAUCCACGUGGCAGAACCUCAAGAACAUCUCAGGUUUCUGGCAUCAGGUAGCAGGUGCGGAGGUGCCAUGGAAGUAAAGAUGGGGCUAAGAGCAGAAGACUGAUUAAACUCCCCUGCUGGGAGUCAGACAGAGCCCCCUCCCCCAGACAGCUGACUGCCUGCACCUCCUCCCUCCCACUGGCAGAGGAGGCCAGACUCUUCUCUGCACUGAAAAUGGAGGCAGGAGGCGGGGCGUGAACAGGUGUCUACAUUCUACUGAGACCCAAGCUCCAGACCCCUCUCAGCUCCCAGCAUGGAGGCCCUAUUCCCCUCAGGCAGGAAAACAGAAGAACCUCCUGGAAGCAGGACCAGCUGAGAGGAAAGACCAAAAGGCAGUGUCUCUGGUGGCUCCUUAAAGAUGAGGCUGAGCCACAUGUCGAAGCCACAGCCACAGGCUCAGGACUUCCCUCAGCUCUUCAGUGCCUACUCUCAACUGGGAGCCCACAGCCAGCCUCCCGGGGCUCCUGAGGGAGGCCUGCAGCACACAGCACAGGGACCGAAGGAAAACUCGACCAACGCAGAGAAGUUAUUACGUCAGACACCUCACAGAUAAAGAACAAAAGAAAAACUGCAAGAUGAAAUGUGGAGGACAAAGGCAAUGUGAAGAGAAAACCCCAGAAAACUAAUUAAUAUCCUCAGAGAUAAGAUUAAGCAGCUGUGGGGGGAAGGGAGCGCCCCAGAUGCUGAGGAAGGAGGGAGGAUGAACAAGAUUGGCUCCGGCCAGGAGACAAGACGGAGCCCACCUCCACAGACGAAAGCUGCUCGCUGCCUGCAGCAGCCCGGGAACCCACGCACCCCGCACGCUCCCAGAAGGUUCCUCUUCAGUGCUGACAUGCUCUCCAAGAAGAAGCCCGCGGUCCUGGGCGUCCCCAGGGGCAGCUGGGCCUGAGUAACAGAGCCGUGGCAGAGCUGGGGUUCGAAGCAGCACACGAGUGCAGGUUGGAGUUCAGAGCAGCUGUGCCUUGACGCAGCCGGGAGGGCCAGCCAGGAGGAUGUCGGGAGAGCAGCGAGGCGGCUGUGCAAGGUCGCUUGGAUUGAGGCGGGAACAGGGGCGCAAGAAGUGCACGGUGGUCCGGGAAUGCGGCCUGCAGGAGAAUGCAGCUUCGCGGAGGCUUGUUGAGAGAUUUGGAAAUCUGUUAGCACUGAAUUGUGCGAAGAGCAUUCAUAGACGUAUUUCCACUCCCUGCUGCCCCGUUAGUCUGGGCUCGUAGCUUUCCUGUUCCUCAGUCCUAGCUGCCUGUCCGCCCCGGGACAGCUGUAACCAACGGCCCUUCCAGGCCAGGGGACCUCCUUGGAGGACAACGACCAUGCCCAGAAGUCAUUCUCAAUCUCCUGUAUUGGGGGUCCUGCUUGCAUGUCCUGUGACCCAGCGCAGAGGCACAUUCAGCCUCUGACCAGGUGGACGUUGAUCCUGGGAAGUCCCUCUCUGGAAGACUCAGGAUGUAGACGCUGCCCCAGCCAUUUUUCUAAUUGAAAGCUUUAUUUGCUAGAAUGGAGCACUUCUGCAUGGUUUUAGGUCUACAUAGGUAUUACAAGGCACUCAGCGUGAACCUAGUAAGUUGCAAGCCAGAAAUAACAGAAUCUUUUUGGAAAAAUCUAAUAGAUUGUUCUUUAUUUUUUCGAAAAUUUUUUUAUUGUGGUAAAAUACACAUAAC
RNAcentral lists this long non-coding RNA (4379 nucleotides) under Equus caballus (horse). RNAcentral's name for it is "lncRNA (ENSECAG00000051497.1)". The record is from RNAcentral. Lineage: Eukaryota; Metazoa; Chordata; Mammalia; Perissodactyla; Equidae.